Molecule: non-coding RNA, 2634 nt
Organism: Pseudonaja textilis
Lineage: Eukaryota; Metazoa; Chordata; Lepidosauria; Squamata; Elapidae
Source: RefSeq, a predicted model, not a curated record
UAAGAAAUAUUAAAAAGGAUUUUCUUCUUAUGCAGACUCCUUUCUUCUAUUAACAUAAAAGGGUCUUCAUUUUUAAUAUAUAAUACUUCACUUACAGUAAUAAAAUCUAACACAAACUAAAUUUAUAAAAAGAAGAGAACAGAGAUGAGUAAAAAGUGCAAGGAAAAAGAGAGAAAAGUAAGAAUAAAGAAAAAGAAAUAUUAUAUAUAAAUAUCAAUACUUUAUGACUUCUGAUCUUCAUCACAAAACAAAUCUAGUAACUCUUUACCACCUCUAAAAUUAAACAUUUAUCCCCUCAUCUCAUAUCCUAUCACUUAUUUAUAAAUAUAUCAUAAAACAUAUUUCAGUCUUGGUAUCAGCAGAAAGUCCAUAAAGGGCAGUCAAAAUAACAUCUUAGUUUAACCAUGUUUAAAUUUGUUCUGAAGAUUUCUAGUAGCUUAGUGAGUUUUACGAACUUAGUAUCCUUUAAAGAAGCCCUGUCACAGUUAUGAGCAAGAAGGCCGAUUCCAUUGUCUCUGGUGCUCAAAUGUGUGGAAAAUCACUGUUCUGCAAUCUUCUUGCCAGGAGCAACUGUCUGGAAUACAUGUGGCUAAUCUCUCAUCUCCUCCUUAUCCAGAGAGAUCCAAGGAAUUAAUCUAUUCAUCAGUUCAUUGGUUUUUGCCCCAGCUAUUUGUUCUACUUUUGCAGAGCUGUUUUCAGUUCAAUACUGCCCCCAGAAAUUUCAGGAACUAUUUUCCUGAAUUCGCUGACUAGAAAUGCAAUGCUUUAUGUAUAAAAUACAUGGUACAAGAAAACUAUAUACUGUUUUAAUAAUUAACAUUCUUCAGAAGUAUUGAACUCUAAAGAAACAAAUUACCCAUGUUUGACAUUUCAGAAUAUCAUUCUUUUUCCUUCCCCAAAUACAUUUUUAGUUUUCUUUGCUUUCUUAAAUUGUUUUUUUCUGUAGCUCUAGAUGUACAGGAAAAAUUUCUCUAAGUUGGUAUAAAUUCAAUCAUAAUAAACAAUUCUAUCUUGUAUCCAUCCAAUUGGCCACUAUUAUAAUAUUCUUCUUACUGACUUUCACCUAGUGGCAAUUUCAAUUCUAGCGGUCAUCAAGAACAAAAAACCAAUUUCCCUUUCCUUUACCUUAACAAUAUCCUUUGUGUAACCUAACAAAGAUCUUAAUAGUUUUAAUCACAUUCUGUAAUAUCCUUUAACUGUUUUAAUGGCUGUUUGCCAUAAUAUUUAACUUUCAACAAUGCUAUCAUCUGUGAAUACCAUCUACUCUGUUAUCUCCUAUAGCAUCAACACAGUUUAGAGUCCUGUACUUUAUUUAAAGAACUAUAUAAUUAUUUUCCUAAAGUUAUUUGACAACAGAGAGCCAGUGUGGCAUAGCAGUUAAGUUGCUGGUCCAGACUCUAAGCCAAUGACUCUGAGCCAAUGACUUCCCCUCAGCCAAACCUACGUUAUAUGAUUACUGUUGUGGGGAAUAUGCCUCUUUGCCUAAGGUGCCCUGAGCUCUUGAAAAAAUUGAGAACAAUUACAUUCUAUUUUAUCAAGCAUUGUGUACUUUAUACACUUAAGAAGGUAUCAUGCCAUAGUGCAAUGAAUCAUAUAGAUAACUUGAUAGAAAAAGUUUAUAUAACCGACAAAGUAUAAAAAGAAAAAAUGAGAAGAAUAGAAAAAAGCUCAGGAAUAAAACAAAAAUAGUCCAAUAAUUCAUGCUAGACAAUUGCAGUUAUAGUUGGGAAUGAAAACCAAAGGAAGAAACCAAAAAGCACUUUACAAUAUAUAAAGUUAUUUUUAAGAGAUUCUUAUUUGUCCAAUGCUCUGUCUAUUCUCCAUCCCAAGAUACUGAAAAGCCUCUCAAUUCUGAUUUGCAACUUUAAAAAUUAUAAAUGCUUGUUACAUUAUGGCUAUAGCACAGAGUAAGAAAGGCUGGAUUAAAAUCUAUGUUCAAUCACAAAGCACACUGGGUGAUUUGGGGUCAAACUUUGCUGGAUUGCUAUGAGGAUAAAAUGAAUAAAUUGAAAAAAAGAAUAUGUGAAGAUGUCCAUGUUUGUGUGGGGGAGAAAGAUAGAAAAGCAAAUGUCAAGCUCCAUGGAGAAGUGGCCUAAUAAAAGUGAAACCUAUGCCAACAACUUUAUUUCUGAAAUUUAUCUUCAACUUUCCAGACAAAUAUGCUUCAAAAUUGUCGUAAAUAAAUUAAAAUGAGAAUAAAAUAACUAAAGAAGGAAAGCUAAAGCGACAGAAUGAACCACUUUACAAGCAGAAGAGCGGGGGGGGGGGGGCGGCGACUCCCUGGAGGCCUGAAUGGGACCAGUGAGGACUAGAGGCAAUCUUUGAAUGGGUUCAAUUGGUGCUACUAUUAUCACAAUUUGUCUCCUUGCCUUGCUUUCAACAGAAGGAGAAAACUGUUGAAAUAAAAUCUUAGCAAUCUCUCUGCUUUUCAUGAACUACAGAAUCUCUGGGUCCCAAACCAUAAAAUUUAUAUUUUUGUUUCACUUUCCUGAAAUCAAUUAUCUAUUUGUUUAUUUGUAUCCCGCUUGUAUUAUUUUUACAAACGUCCCAAGGCGGUGAAUAUAUCAAACACAUUUUCUUCCUUCUAUUUUCCCCACAACAACUCUGUGAGGUGGGUUGAGCUGAGAGAGAGUC